Molecule: small nuclear RNA, 108 nt
Organism: Zalophus californianus (California sea lion)
Lineage: Eukaryota; Metazoa; Chordata; Mammalia; Carnivora; Otariidae
Source: Ensembl
GUGCUCACUUCGGCAACACAUAUACUAAAAUUGGAAGGAUACAGAGAAGACUAGCAUGGCCCCUGCAGAAAGAUCUAAUGCUUAUUAAAUCAAAAAGGAAGAGCUUCU